AUUUCCUAUUCUGCAGCACACAAACAAUAUUCUUGUGUAGACAUAUGCCUUGUAGAUAUCUAAACCUUUUAGUUUCUCGUUAGGGCUUGUAUUGGCCUGAUUUCCUGGUCUUUUAUAUAUUACAGCAUUUGGAAGAAAAUAUUUAUAGAGGCACUUUAUAACAGCUCAGUCCAAAAGAAAACCUGUUAAGUGGAUACUUUGCAAAUUG
Molecule: non-coding RNA, 208 nt
Organism: Pelobates cultripes (western spadefoot toad)
Lineage: Eukaryota; Metazoa; Chordata; Amphibia; Anura; Pelobatidae
Source: the annotation of a GenBank genome assembly